UUGGCUGCAGUGUGGCAGGGAACAUCACUAUAUCAUCGUCCCGGAGCAAAGUCCUCGUGUUCCCAGAGUACUCCAACAAAUAGUGGGAACGUGAAGGAAACCAAACAUGGACUCAGCAGCUCCCCCAGUGGCAGGACAUGCACUCCUGGCUAUAAUACACUGCGGAGAAAUUCAGCUGCUCUUCUUCCCUAUGAGGGCAUUAUAGAUUCACAAAAACACGAAGUCAAUAUAUAUACUAACCCAACAGUACCAUCUCUUAAUCCACCACAAGCAAA
Molecule: long non-coding RNA, 275 nt
Filed under: Rattus norvegicus (Norway rat)
Lineage: Eukaryota; Metazoa; Chordata; Mammalia; Rodentia; Muridae
Description: long non-coding RNA NONRATT016231
Source: RNAcentral